Molecule: long non-coding RNA, 888 nt
Organism: Pipistrellus kuhlii (Kuhl's pipistrelle)
Lineage: Eukaryota; Metazoa; Chordata; Mammalia; Chiroptera; Vespertilionidae
Exons: 2
Source: RefSeq, a predicted model, not a curated record
ACGCGGGGGCGGCCCUUCCCUUCCCCGCGCGCCAGCCGGACCGAGCCGGGCCGCUCCCCCCGCACGGCCGGGUGGACGCCGUUCCUGAGCCCCGGAGAGCUUCUCCCAUGAGAGAUAGGGAAGCUGGCCAGAACCCUGCAUACUGAACCCAAAUAGAUUCAGAAGAAUCCCUUCUCACUUCCAUCAGUUCAUCUGUGUUAACAAUUUCUUCAUGAAAGCCACAAAGGCUUGCUACCAGCAGCAAACACACUGGACCUUGAAUACAUGUUCAACCAGAGAAUCAAGAAUUUUAAGUUUCUUAGUGGCUUGAAUUUACUAUGGUAUCUUCAUUAAUACACAUCUGCCUUACAAACAACUUCAGUGUGCCUCUUAGUCUCAUUUAUAGGGAAUGUCUCAUAUGCAAAUUAGUAGCCACAGUUCAACGAUUUAGGAACCCAAGAGAACUACGUAGAUGAUGAUGCUGAGAUCUCUCCUCUAAAGGAACUUUAAAAAGUUAAGUUUGGUUAUUUGGGUAACGAAAUACGAGAUAAAGGGAAGUGAAUCUACGUAAAAGCAUUCCACUAUUAUGUGAAAGAGAAAUAAUAGAAGAUCCCAGUUUUGCAGCCCCCCGUGAAUCAGUAGAUGUAGGCGUUGUACAUCAAUGUUUUCAAAGAUCAGAGAGAGAACUGGACAUUCUUUACCUCUUGAGGGGCAGCCAUGCCACCACCUAAAAUACCACUGAUAGAAUCAAACCCCAAUCUCACCAAGACUUGCCAUCCACCAGCCAGUGUGUAGGAAACACAGGGAGAGAGGAACAUGCUGAACUGCACCAUGAACAUGCAGUUUGCAAAGUCCUGCCUAUGGAAGACUGCUGGUCUACAGGCCUCUCUUUAAAAGACAAACUGUAAA